This 113-nucleotide ribosomal RNA is filed under the name Candidatus Methanomassiliicoccus intestinalis. Lineage: Archaea; Methanobacteriati; Thermoplasmatota; Thermoplasmata; Methanomassiliicoccales; Methanomassiliicoccaceae. The record is from RNAcentral.
GACGGCCAGAGCGGCGGGGAUACACCCGGUCCCAUCUGAACCCGGAAGUUAAGUCCGCCUGCGUUUCAUGUUGUACUGCGGUGCGCGAGCCCGCGGGAACCAUGAGACGCUGU